GAUGAACGCUGGCGGCGUGCCUAAUACAUGCAAGUCGAACGAAGAUCUAGCUUGCUAGAUCUUAGUGGCGAACGGGUGAGUAAUACAUAAAUAAUCUGCCCAUGUGACUGGGAUAACUAUUGGAAACGAUAGCUAAUACCGGAUAGGUUAAUUGGAGGCAUCUCCGAUUAAUUAAAGUAGGAUUUCUACACAGAUGGAUGAGUUUAUGGCGCAUUAGUUAGUUGGUGGGGUAACGGCCUACCAAGACGAUGAUGCGUAGCCGACCUGAGAGGGUGACCGGCCACACUGGGACUGAGACACGGCCCAGACUCCUACGGGAGGCUG
This 324-nucleotide ribosomal RNA is filed under the name uncultured Bacillota bacterium. RNAcentral's name for it is "bacterial SSU rRNA". It matches the Rfam family "Bacterial small subunit ribosomal RNA", at positions 28 to 351 of the family's 1533-position model. Lineage: Bacteria; Bacillati; Bacillota. The record is from RNAcentral.